Molecule: ribosomal RNA, 253 nt
Filed under: uncultured bacterium
Lineage: Bacteria
Description: partial 16S ribosomal RNA
Rfam family: Bacterial small subunit ribosomal RNA
Source: RNAcentral
UACGUAGGGAGCAAGCGUUGUUCGGAAUUACUGGGCGUAAAGCGCACGUAGGCGGACAUUUAAGUCAGGGGUGAAAUCCCAGAGCUCAACUCUGGAACUGCCUUUGAUACUGGGUGUCUUGAGUAUGGAAGAGGUGAGUGGAAUUCCGAGUGUAGAGGUGAAAUUCGUAGAUAUUCGGAGGAACACCAGUGGCGAAGGCGGCUCACUGGGCCAUGACUGACGCUGAGGUGCGAAAGCGUGGGGAGCAAACAGG